Molecule: ribosomal RNA, 448 nt
Filed under: uncultured bacterium
Lineage: Bacteria
Description: partial 16S ribosomal RNA
Rfam family: Bacterial small subunit ribosomal RNA
Source: RNAcentral
UCCAGACUCCUACCGGGAGGCAGCAGUGGGGGAUAUUGCACAAUGGGGGGAACCCUGAUGCAGCGACGCCGCGUGGGUGAAGAAGCGCCUCGGCGCGUAAAGCCCUGUCAGCAGGGAAGAAGAAAUGACGGUACCUGAGUAAGAAGCACCGGCUAAAUACGUGCCAGCAGCCGCGGUAAUACGUAUGGUGCAAGCGUUAUCCGGAUUUACUGGGUGUAAAGGGAGCGCAGGCGGCACGGCAAGCCUGAUGUGAAAGCCCGCGGCCCAACCGCGGGACUGCAUUGGGAACUACCGGGCUGGAGUGCCGGAGAGGUAGGCGGAAUUCCUAGUGUAGCGGUGAAAUGCGUAGAUAUUAGGAGGAACACCAGUGGCGAAGGCGGCCUACUGGACGGUGACUGACGCUGAGGCUCGAAAGCGUGGGGAGCAAACAGGAUUAGAUACCCCGGUA